Molecule: ribosomal RNA, 734 nt
Filed under: uncultured Fusobacterium sp.
Lineage: Bacteria; Fusobacteriati; Fusobacteriota; Fusobacteriia; Fusobacteriales; Fusobacteriaceae
Description: bacterial SSU rRNA
Rfam family: Bacterial small subunit ribosomal RNA
Source: RNAcentral
GAUGAACGCUGACAGAAUGCUUAACACAUGCAAGUCAACUUGAAUUUGGGUUUUUAACUUAGAUUUGGGUGGCGGACGGGUGAGUAACGCGUAAAGAACUUGCCUCACAGCUAGGGACAACAUUUAGAAAUGAAUGCUAAUACCUGAUAUUAUGGUUAUAGGGCAUCCUAUAAUUAUGAAAGCUAUAAGCACUGUGAGAGAGCUUUGCGUCCCAUUAGCUAGUUGGAGAGGUAACAGCUCACCAAGGCGAUGAUGGGUAGCCGGCCUGAGAGGGUGAACGGCCACAAGGGGACUGAGACACGGCCCUUACUCCUACGGGAGGCAGCAGUGGGGAAUAUUGGACAAUGGACCGAGAGUCUGAUCCAGCAAUUCUGUGUGCACGAUGAAGUUUUUCGGAAUGUAAAGUGCUUUCAGUUGGGAAGAAAAAAAUGACGGUACCAACAGAAGAAGUGACGGCUAAAUACGUGCCAGCAGCCGCGGUAAUACGUAUGUCACGAGCGUUAUCCGGAUUUAUUGGGCGUAAAGCGCGUCUAGGUGGUUAUGUAAGUCUGAUGUGAAAAUGCAGGGCUCAACUCUGUAUUGCGUUGGAAACUGUAUAACUAGAGUACUGGAGAGGUAAGCGGAACUACAAGUGUAGAGGUGAAAUUCGUAGAUAUUUGUAGGAAUGCCGAUGGGGAAGCCAGCUUACUGGACAGAUACUGACGCUAAGGCGCGAAAGCGUGGUAGCAAACAGG